GGCAGACGGGUGAGUAACAUGUAGGUAUCUGCCCUUUGGCCUGGAAUAACACGAGGAAACUUGUGCUAAUACCGGAUAAGUCUUUACAGAGAAAGCUUUAUGCACCAUUGGAUGAGCCUGCACUUGAUUAGUUUGUUGGUGGGGUAAUGGCCUACCAAGACUUUGAUCAAUAGCUGAUUUGAGAGGAUGAUCAGCCACAUUGGGACUGAGACACGGCCCAAACUCCUACGGGAGGCAGCAGUGGGGAAUCUUGCACAAUGGAGGAAACUCUGAUGCAGCGAUGCCGCGUGAGUGAAGAAGGCCUUUGGGUUGUAAAGCUCUUUCGUCGGGGAAGAAAAUGACUGUACCCGAAUAAGAAGGUCCGGCUAACUCCGUGCCAGCAGCCGCGGUAAUACGAAGGGACCUAGCGUAGUUCGGAAUUACUGGGCUUAAAGAGUUCGUAGGUGGUUGAAAAAGUUGGUGGUGAAAUCCCAGAGCUUAACUCUGGAACUGCCAUCAAAACUUUUCAGCUAGAGUUUGAUAGAGGAAAGCAGAAUUUCUAGUGUAGAGGUGAAAUUCGUAGAUAUUAGAAAGAAUACCAAUUGCGAAGGCAGCUUUCUGGAUCAUUACUGACACUGAGGAACGAAAGCAUGGGUAGCGAAGAGGAUUAGAUACCCUCGUAGUCCAUGCCGUAAACGAUGUGUGUUAGACGUUGGAAAUUUGUUUUCAGUGUCGCAGCGAAAGCGAUAAACACAC
Molecule: ribosomal RNA, 735 nt
Filed under: uncultured marine bacterium
Lineage: Bacteria
Description: bacterial SSU rRNA
Rfam family: Bacterial small subunit ribosomal RNA
Source: RNAcentral